RNAcentral lists this ribosomal RNA (427 nucleotides) under Bacillus seohaeanensis. RNAcentral's name for it is "bacterial SSU rRNA". It matches the Rfam family "Bacterial small subunit ribosomal RNA", at positions 353 to 772 of the family's 1533-position model. Lineage: Bacteria; Bacillati; Bacillota; Bacilli; Caryophanales; Bacillaceae. The record is from RNAcentral.
AGUAGGGAAUCUUCCGCAAUGGACGAAAGUCUGACGGAGCAACGCCGCGUGAGUGAUGAAGGUUUUCGGAUCGUAAAACUCUGUUGUUAGGGAAGAACAAGUAGUAUUCGAAUAGGAUGCUACCUUGACGGUACCUAAUUAGAAAGCCACGGCUAACUACGUGCCAGCAGCCGCGGUAAUACGUAGGUGGCAAGCGUUAUCCGGAAUUAUUGGGCGUAAAGCGCGCGCAGGCGGUCUUUUAAGUCUGAUGUUAAAGCCCACGGCUCAACCGUGGUUCGCAUUGGAAACUGGGAGACUUGAGUACUGAAGAGGAAAGUGGAAUACCACGUGUAGCGGUGAAAUGCGUAGAGAUGUGGUGGAACACCAGUGGCGAAGGCGACUUUCUGGUCAGUAACUGACGCUGAGGCGCGAAAGCGUGGGGAGCAAA